RNAcentral lists this long non-coding RNA (2697 nucleotides) under Canis lupus familiaris (dog). Its description in RNAcentral is "lncRNA (ENSCAFG00000059240.1)". The record is from RNAcentral. Lineage: Eukaryota; Metazoa; Chordata; Mammalia; Carnivora; Canidae.
UUAUUUUGACUUUUCUGCAUUUUUCAGAUUUUCGCAAGUGAACAUGUAUUGUUGCUUUUAUAGUAAGGGCAUUAAAAAUGAGAAAGAAUUCAGAGCUCAGGGGUGGGAGUCGAUGCUGUCUAAGAUCCGCCCAGGCCUCUGACAAGGAAGGUCAGACUCGCCUCCUGGGUGUCAGGGAAGCUUCUGGGCUUGGAGUUAGCAGCCUGAGUGUCAGAACCAGGGCCGCCUGUGUGACCCUGGGCAAAUCUCUCCACCCUUUGGCACCUCAAUGGCAUCCCCUGUCAAAUAGGGCCUGGUCCCCUAUAUCACAUGAGUGGGGCAAGAAUAGGACAUCAGGGCCCUGUAAGGCUUUCUGGAAUUCUCACCAAAUGAACAGAAAUGAUACCUUUCUUCUCAAUUCCUGGGAAGGCCAGUUCUGCUUUCAGACCCCUCAGAAAGUUGUCAGCAUUCUUGCCAGGGAGCCCCAGGGAGUCUUUGCAGCCCCCAGAGGUACAGAUGUUCCUGACUCAUUUUGGAAAGUAGAACUGGGGUGAUUUCCAGAAAUGUAUCACCAAGCGGGGGAGAAGCACUGCGGAGGUUUGGGGGGCAGGUGGUUAGAGGCCUGAGAUCUGGUCCCAGCCCUUCCCCCCACAGCUGUGUGACCUUGGGCGAGUCACUCAGCACUCCUGGCCUCAGCUUCCUCUGUCAUGGGCUCUGGACUCAGCGCUAAAAUUCCUUGAACUCUCUCUUGAACCCAGGCCUUAGAAGCAGGGACCCUGUAGUCUGAGAGGCAGCUCCUGAUAGCCUGGGGUCCCCAGAAUGUCCCAUGGGUGACCUCUGACCUCAUUCCUUGUCAUCAUUUCCCAGGAGAGUGGGGGGUGGAAGGACAUUCACUGGCUGGUCUCCGGAAGCUCAGUCGGCCGUGAUGGGAUUGUCCUCAGUUUCCCUCGGCCUCCUCUGUUGCAUUUGACUCCUGAGAGGGUCUGGCAUUGUGGGAAGGGUGAGCUGCUUCAGGGCAGGUAGUGUGUACACCGGAAAGAGCCCCCGUGUGCACGCAGCCUGGAGGAGUGCACACCACUCUCCCAGCCUGGGGGUGACAGCUGCCCUGUGCUGGUGCCUCAAGGACCCUCCAAACCUCAGACCUGGACAUUCCCGGCCUUCUGCUCUGAUGCAUAGUAGAUGUGUUCACAUGAACCGGUCAUGUCCCCAUAAGAUGCACAUCGCAGACCUCAGACCUAAUUAUGAUCUAAUUAGCCAUACGGUUACGUCCCCCAGGCUGGGCUUUCCACGGAGUCAUUGCAAACAUGAAUCUUCACAACUGUUUUGUGAGAUGGGCCCUAAUGCUCUGCAGCACUUACAGAUGGGGGAUCGGAGGCUCAGAGAGGUUAAAAAUCUCACCCAAGGUCACACAGUUGGCAAGGUGGCAGGACCAGGAUUUGAGCCCAGGCCAUCUGGCCCGAGUCCACACUUGUGACCAUGAUGCUCUGAGAUCAUUUAGCCUCUUCCAGAUGCUGUUUUGCCAAAUGAGAAGCUCAGCACAGGUCAGUGGCUUCCCAAGGUCACACAGCAAAUUAGUGCAGAGCCCAGACCUGCUUCAGACUCCUGGACUUGGGGAAAGAGCUCUUUGCACAGGGAUGCGAGUGGCUGUGUCAUCCCCAGCUUCUGGGCCCAGCAGGGUGUUUGCCACACAGGCCGGUGGACAAUGGGCUGAUUGGAUCCAACUAAUUCUUCAUUCAUUCGCCCAUCCACUGAGAUCCUUCUGGGUGCAAAGGCCUCUGCCUGGCCCUGGGGGAUAGAGAUGAGCAAGACCCAUCUGCUGCUCAUAACGCAGGGACUUCCAGGAGGAGGGAACAGCUGAGAUUUGGUCAGAGGGAGGAGGGAAGAAAGGGUGUUCUGAGUUUAGGGAACGGCUGAUGCAUUCGCAGGGGAGGAAACCCCAUGGCUUCUGGGAGGUUGGUGAAGGGGAAGGAGAGGAGGCUGCUAGGGUCUGACACUACUGGGGCUAGUGGUGGGUGGUGGAGGGGGAAGGCAAAUGGGGAGCCCAAAGGAGUCAGCCAGAGACUGAGAGUCCAACGCUGGGAGUCUGAGCCCCACCCCCUAGAAGGGGUGCAGGGAGGGGGGACCCAGUUUAGGAAAGGAUGUGGUUCCUGACUUCUUGGGUCACAACUGGAAGGGGAAGUGGGGGUUGGGGCCGGGCUGGGUGGGGCUGAGGUCACAAGGCAGGAGUAACAAUGGCAGAGCAGCACCCCUGUGGUGGCCUGGGGGGCAGCUCUGCAAGUGCUCCUUACUCAGAGGCAGGAAGGGGGAGAGGGAAGCAGACCUCACCUCUGGGGUUCUCUGACCUCAUCUCCCUGUUCUCUUCCUCACUCACUUCCUCACUGGCUUUGUUUCUCGAAUGUAUCCAGCUCCUUCCUGCCACAGGCCCUUUGUACCUGCUAUUCCCUCUGUCUGAUAUGACUCUCUUCUUUUAAUCAUUUGCCUCUUCAAAUGGUACCUCCUCAGAGAAGUCUCCUGACACUUCUAAACUACACUGCCCCCUCCCCAUCCAUCUUCCCUCCCCCAACACCACUCGUUCAUUAUUGCCCUUAUCCCUAUGUGCCAUUUCAUGCCCGCUUGUUUACCUAUUCACCAUCUAUUCCCCAUCUCAGGACAUAAGCUGAAGAGGACAGGGGCUUGGUUGAUCUGGCUCAUCACUGAAUCCCCAGCUCCUGGGGACAG